GCGGAUGUGUCGUAAUUGGUAGCCGAGCCAGACUUAGGAUCUGGUGCCGAAAGGCGUGGGGGUUCGAGUCCCUCCAUCCGCA
RNAcentral lists this transfer RNA (82 nucleotides) under Bacteroidota bacterium. RNAcentral describes it as "Bacteroidetes bacterium (sediment metagenome) tRNA-Leu". It matches the Rfam family "tRNA". From Rfam's summary of the family: Transfer RNA (tRNA) molecules are approximately 80 nucleotides in length. Their secondary structure includes four short double-helical elements and three loops (D, anti-codon, and T loops). Lineage: Bacteria; Pseudomonadati; Bacteroidota. The record is from RNAcentral.